RNAcentral lists this ribosomal RNA (267 nucleotides) under uncultured bacterium. Its description in RNAcentral is "partial 16S ribosomal RNA". It matches the Rfam family "Bacterial small subunit ribosomal RNA", at positions 1234 to 1500 of the family's 1533-position model. The record is from RNAcentral.
ACGGUACAACGAGUCGCAAGACCGCGAGGUUUAGCAAAUCUCUUAAAGCCGUUCUCAGUUCGGAUUGUAGGCUGCAACUCGCCUACAUGAAGUCGGAAUCGCUAGUAAUCGCGGAUCAGCAUGCCGCGGUGAAUACGUUCCCGGGCCCUGUACACACCGCCCGUCACACCAUGAGAGUUUGUAACACCCAAAGCCGGUGGGGUAACCUUUUGGAGCCAGCCGCCUAAGGUGGGACAGAUGAUUGGGGUGAAGUCGUAACAAGGUAUC